GGGUCGUUAGCUCAGUUGGGAGAGCAUCGCCCUUACAAGGCGAGGGUCACUGGUUCAAGUCCAGUACGACCCA
Molecule: non-coding RNA, 73 nt
Organism: Pseudoalteromonas porphyrae
Lineage: Bacteria; Pseudomonadati; Pseudomonadota; Gammaproteobacteria; Alteromonadales; Pseudoalteromonadaceae
Source: Rfam